UAUUAAAAAAUUCAUUCAUCUAUACUAUUAAAAGCAGGCAUAAUUGAUAGAAUAACCAGAUAAUGACACUUGGUGUGUCACGUGUACCUCAUGCUAAGGUAUAGGUACCAACUCUUAACCGUAGAAAUAGAUGUAACUUUUAAUA
This is a non-coding RNA of Gossypium arboreum, 145 nucleotides long. Lineage: Eukaryota; Viridiplantae; Streptophyta; Magnoliopsida; Malvales; Malvaceae. The record is from Rfam.